Molecule: long non-coding RNA, 147 nt
Organism: Drosophila arizonae
Lineage: Eukaryota; Metazoa; Arthropoda; Insecta; Diptera; Drosophilidae
Gene: Unr
Source: RefSeq, a predicted model, not a curated record
CGUCACAAUUGUUCUGCCAUUUGCAUACAACGUUUACCAGCACUAACCAACAUGGCGUCCGGUGUUGUGCUGUGUCGUGUGCUUUUGUAACUAAAACUCCGUUUUGACAUCACUUUCAUCAUAAUCUGAAUAAAAUAAUAAUAAUAA